GAGGGUAUAGCUCAGUGGUAGAGAGUGCUCAGCAUGCACAAGGUCCUGGGUUCAAUCCCCAAUGCCUCCA
RNAcentral lists this transfer RNA (70 nucleotides) under Camelus bactrianus (Bactrian camel). It matches the Rfam family "tRNA". From Rfam's summary of the family: Transfer RNA (tRNA) molecules are approximately 80 nucleotides in length. Their secondary structure includes four short double-helical elements and three loops (D, anti-codon, and T loops). RNAcentral also lists the same sequence under 1 other name. Lineage: Eukaryota; Metazoa; Chordata; Mammalia; Artiodactyla; Camelidae. The record is from Rfam by way of RNAcentral.